AGAAUUGUGAUAAAUGUGUGGGGGUUUAUACUCUCUUUUUUUUUUUACAGUUAGGGGGCCAACGACUAUUUUAAAUAACUGUCGGAACACAAGUAAAAGCGCGCUUAUGUGAAAACACUUUACUAAAGCACGUUGACAUGAGAGCUUUUUACAUGUCAAAGGGGUAAAAAAAGCUGAGCUAGACGUGCUUUUUUAGUUUUCCCCUAGAAACGACUCUAGCUCAGUACAUUUUAAUAAAAUCAAGCCA
This 247-nucleotide long non-coding RNA is filed under the name Gossypium raimondii (Peruvian cotton). RNAcentral describes it as "long non-coding RNA (GRAI_LNC007174)". The record is from RNAcentral. Lineage: Eukaryota; Viridiplantae; Streptophyta; Magnoliopsida; Malvales; Malvaceae.